RNAcentral lists this ribosomal RNA (119 nucleotides) under Pteropus alecto (black flying fox). The record is from RNAcentral. Lineage: Eukaryota; Metazoa; Chordata; Mammalia; Chiroptera; Pteropodidae.
GUCUAUGGCCAUGCUAUCCUGAACAAGGCCUACCCUGUCUGAUCUCAGAAGCUAAGCAGGGUUGGGCCUGGUUUGUACUUGGAUGGGAGACCACCUAGGAAGACCAGGUGCUGUAGGCA